This is a long non-coding RNA of Haemorhous mexicanus (house finch), 4402 nucleotides long. RefSeq lists it as uncharacterized. Lineage: Eukaryota; Metazoa; Chordata; Aves; Passeriformes; Fringillidae. The record is from RefSeq and is a predicted model, not a curated record. The transcript is spliced from 5 exons.
UGUGCAUAGAGAAUUGCUAUGCUGUGGAGAGUUUCUCACCUGUUAAUGAUAUGUCAAGGAUUUUUUUGGUUUUAGCUUCUUAAUAUUUUUUGAUAUUUCAGUUUGCUUACUGCCCCCUCUAUCUGCCUAGUCAUAUUUGUUUCAAGCACUAUAUUCCAGAAAGUUCAGUUGUUUAUUUCUUAAUUCAGGCCCCUUCCAUGAAGAGCCACAAUAUUUGGUCUCCAGUUGAACGGACAGAAGAGAGUGGCUGAUAAUUUGGCAUCACGUACUCAGCUCCUUAAGAUUGAAAGACAAGGAUGGAGAGAAGAGUGGAGCUCCCAUAAUCCAAGGAGAACCUGCUACACCACCUAGGCAUACACAAGUCAAUGGAACUGGAUGGGAUCCACCCAAGGGUGCUGAGGGAGCUGGCAGAAGUGUUCACAGAGCCAUUUUCCAUCAGUUAUCAUCUGUCCUGGCUUACCAGCAAGGUCCCAGCUGCAAGCUGGCAAAUAUAAUACCCAUCUGCAAAAGUCAGAAAGAAGAUCUGGUGAACUGACAGGCCUGUCAGCCUGACCUUGGUGCCACGGAAGGUGAUGGAGCAGAUCAUCUUCAUGCCAUCACACAGCCCAUACAAGACAACCAGGAGAAAUGACUCAUAUCGAAUUAUGGAACUUGCAUAUCAAAUCAGAACGACCAGAUCUGGGGAAAUCAGAAGACAUAGCCACUGCUAAGACUUCUGUAUAAACCAAGAGACUGAGCAGGCUGUUUCAUCUUAAAAACAGUAACGAUUCACCAUGUAAAAAUCACAACAGAAACAGUUUUCACCCUAGGAAUAGUGGAAUGAAUCCUGACUUUUCAAGUUUCCCUUUGUGCCUAUCUAGGAUAAAACACAGAACUCCACAUUCACAGAGCAACAGGACAGAACUUCUAAAGGUAUUUAUUUCCAAUAAGUGGAAAAAUACAUUUGUUUUGAUAUUGUUAAAUUGCUUCAGUAGAGUAAAAAAAUUCUCCCUGAUCAGUUUGAAAUAUUGAAUAUAUAUAUCAGAUCUAAAAUGUUAAUACAGAAUAAAAUACAAAUGUUAAAAGGAUAAAUUUGGAAGACAAAAGCAGAAAUGAAUUAUUUUAUUUUGAUAUUAGUCACUGAAAUGUUUCUCUUAAAAAUCAUUAAAAUCAACAUGUUCUUAUGAAAUAUUUAAAAGAACAUCCUUCUGAAAACAAUUUUUUAUCAAGUUUAUGCAGAAAAUAAUGCUUUUCCAUUGUUUUUAUCAUAAAUUCAUGAAAGACCUUGCUGAUGGUAUAUUUGUUGCUAAUGGGAAGAGCCAGUUUGACUCUUGAGAACAGGAGGUCCUCCCCACAAAGUAAACAGGUAAUAGGAUUGUGUAGCCACCUUCAAAAGUUUUCUUCUAUGUAUGGGGAUGUUUUAAUACUGGACCAACAAAUAGUUCAAAGUUCAGUUGCUAUAAUUAGGGAAAGAUCUAUGUAAUCCCAGUGUCUUCUCCUUCUAAAUGCAGUCUGCAGGGACUAUAAGGGGGCUCCAGUAAAAGUGUGUAUAUAUUGUGGGUGCUACAGGGGCAACAUGAAAUGAAAUAAAAAAACAAAACAAAACACCUAAGUGGGAAAAAAAUUACUCCCUAGCUCAGGUGAAAGGCAAAGUUUUUUAUGUUAAACUGUUCUCCCACUGAGUCACCAAAUGGAGUUACCAAAUGGACAGACUUCAUAUGCAGAAACCAUUUAAACUGACUGAAAUUUUACAGCUGGUCAGUAAGGUGAACUGAGGGAUUGAGAAAGCUGGUUCAUCUCUAAAACAACAAUGCCCUGUCAUCUGAGGAGGUCAGCCAGCACAAUACAGAACAAGGUCUUGGAACACUUCAUGCAGGUUUGCUUUCACUUGUCCUUUUCAGCAUCAGAGAAUAGCUGGUAUCCAUUUGUGCUGAGUCAGUUUCCAGUGCCUCUGCAUUAUGAAACACUUCCUCAGCUACCCAGCUUCUUCCACCCACUUUUAGAUGCACAGACUGAGCUUUCCAAAAUUCUUCCUUGUUGUCACACUGAAUUGUGAGCAUCAGAAGCACAGGCCUGAGCAACUCAUAUGUACACAUAAUAACAGUGGUUCUAGAUACUGUAUUCAGUGUAAUAAUAGUGUUGAUUGCUGAUACUGGCUCAGUUGACACUGUAUGUUGCCAAAAUUUGUUGUCACACCAGAAACAGGAAGAGAAAAAUUGGGAAGAGGUGUGAAGAAGGAACCUUCUGUCCAAAUUCAAAUCACAUAAUGCUAUUAUCAGUGGGGAAUAACAGUGAGAGACUAAAUGGAUCUGCUUUGGGUGGCUGCUAAGGCAGAAAUGACCAGAGAGGGAUGUUGGGCUGCAUUUCUCUGAAUGGAGCUGCUUCUGCAGCUCACAUUCCCUAAGUUAUCGCCCAUGAUAGUGAAGACAUGGUGGCCUGGUCCCACUCUCCUGAUUCACAUUGUUCUCACAUGCAGCCCUAUUUUGACUGCAUAAAUAGGGAGGAAUUUCCAAUUCCAUGGAGAUACUACAAGUUUAGUCAUGAAGAUAAUUAAGUCCUUUGGGCUUGAAAUACCCAAAUAUUUCAUACUUGAAAGAAAUUCAGAUAUGGCUCUAAAGGUCUGGACUACUGCCAUCUAAACAAUUUGGAUUCAUUAGAGGUUUAAGAUUCGCUCCAAAUUCCUCUUCACAUCAAUUAAUCAUUCACAUAUUUACUCUUCUUAUCACUAGUGUUAUAGAAUGGCUAGAAAUUCUGAGAAAGACACUACAUAGCCUAGUUCUGCUGACACACAAAAGCCAGCAUCAGUCUUAAAAAUGUCAAAUCUAAUAAGGAAAGAUUGGGGGAAAAAAAACGAGGUGGAAAGAAGUUUUAUUAUUGACAUCCUUUUCCAAAAGAUAAUAGAAACAGUAGCUUGUCCAAAACACCUCACAGAAUAUCAGUGGUAGAGCUGAGGAAGGGCUCUAUGAUUGUUGCCUGUCUCCCAAGGCAGCAGGAGACUUAGUCAGAAAUUGCCUUACCCCAUAUUUUGCAGCAAAAAUUAUUUCUUACUGUUAUUGCUCACUGCAGUUAAAUGAAAAGAUAUCUAGCCUUUCCAGAAUUUUUAGAAUAAAAAACUUUAGAAUUUUUAGAAUAAACAAACUUGUUUAUUUUUAGAAUAAACAAACUCAGAUAAAUAUAGUACCUGUAAAUAAUGGACAGUACUGGAAUGCUAGCUCAGGUCCUAAGGAACUUAGAGAAAUGUAGGUACCUUCUAGUACUGCUCUGGUGGUCAGACAAAAGGGACCUUGAUACAGAAAUAGGGACACUUGCUUGAACUCAGGCUUAAAUGUCUAUAGAUCUUUGAAACUAGAUAGAAAGGCAGAUAAAGAGCUGCAUUUUUCUCCAGGAUCAGAGAGCCUCUGGGAAGUAUCUGUCCAACCCAUAGUUUUAUCUAAGUUUGUAAUUUCACAUAUAUUUCUAAGUAAAAUAAGUGGGACUCAUUAUUAGGGCUUUUUAUUGAAUUUGUGAGUUUAUUUUUAAUUACUAAAUAUCAAUCAUUUACAUUUACCAAAAAUUUACCUGAUACUAACACCACCUUGAUUAAAUCUUGCUUUCUAUUUUGUUCUUUUGUCACUAAGAAUUCUGAAAAUCAGAUGAAGACUCUGAAAGUAGAACUGCUACAAUGGCAAAUAUGUUUAAAAUCUUCACUUUCUUUCCUGAGGUCUGACUUUUGUGUCUGUAAGUGUGUGUGUCAGUUAAGGGGAGGGUGGAGGGUUCAACAUAACCUGCGGUAAAUUUUAUCAAAUGAAUUUUAAUUAACAGCUCUGAUGAGAUAACAAGAGAGAUUGAACCUCACCUCCCAAAACUGUAUUAGUUUGCUUUUGUUGCUGCUGUUGUAAAAAAAUCUUGUUUUGCUGACACUUCGGAAAUGAUUAUGACAAGUAAAAAGAUACUGUCUUUGCAAGGGCAAUUUUGGACUAAAUUUAAUCUGUUUUAAAAAGCUGAGGUGAAACAGUAAAGGAAAAAAAAAAACCCCAUCAAAAUCCUGAUGAAGAAUCUGCACUGAAUUUGACUUAUUUUGAAACUUUUAUUAGUGCAGUACCUGAAAUAGAGCACAAAGAUCUUCCUCAAGGCACUGCAGAAGUGAGGAGAUAACUUAAGACAUAAAAUGCAGCAAAACAGAACAUAAUUGUCAUGGGGCGGGGGUGAAGAGUGUGGGGUGGGAGGCGGGUAAGGAAAAAAAUUAAAUUCCUUCACCAAAAAUUCAGUAAAAAACCCUGAUAGAGGUUAACUGUCUUGUGGCAAGCACAUUCCUAAUGCUGGAUGCAGGAUAUUCCCAUCCUGCAGUGGAAGGUCCUUAUUAAAAAAGGAGAACGGAUGAGAGAUGCAAAUUAUGGUUUAUAUGCACAUAAGUACUUAAAAUAAAAGUUCUUCCAGCUUGAUA